Molecule: long non-coding RNA, 27202 nt
Filed under: Lupinus angustifolius (narrow-leaved blue lupine)
Lineage: Eukaryota; Viridiplantae; Streptophyta; Magnoliopsida; Fabales; Fabaceae
Description: long non-coding RNA (LANG_LNC001845)
Source: RNAcentral
UACAAACAAUUUUAAUUUUGGUGAGUUAAAACAAAUUUGGUGUGAACAUUUAUGUUUUCACUCAUGAUUUUCGAACUACCAUGAGUUUCAUGAAUGAAAGGGUCUUUUAAUUACUAUGACAAAACAAGUAUAACUUCACACACAAAAAAGGUACACAUCAAAUUAGAGAUAAUAAACGGGGGGGAAAUCUUAACUACUGGUUAACCCCAUUUUUAAAAUAUGCAAGCUGGACAGAAAAGUUACCAAAAUAUAAAACUCGGGCACUUCAAGUGCAUUUUUCAAGCAUAAACAAAAUUUGAGACAUUCAAAUCCUCAAAAAAGAAACAUAAGCUCAUAUAACUAGGUCUUCCCACUCAAACAAUGGCAUUGGCUGCACUAGCAAUCCUAGGCCACAAAUCAGCACAUUCCUUUCCAAUAGGACCCGUAAUAGCAGAACCUACAUUUGAAGGUGAAAUAACCAAAUUAAGAACGAAAUAUGAAAAAACAGAUAAAAUCAGCAAUGCAACUCUGAAGUCCAGUGGCAAAUAUAAGACUGACAAGGGUAGGUUUCAUAUGAUAGAAGGAGAACUGUAAUGAACUUGGGGAAAAGUGUACAAGUAAAAUAAUUAAAUAGAACAUCAAGUCAUAACAUCCUACAUACACUUAAAUUGUAUAAUAUCAUUCUAAAGUAGUUACUUUUAAAUAUUGCAGUCAUUCAAAAUUAUAAUCUUAGGAGUCAAAGAGAGAUAGUCAAAAUAUGAAUCAUAUUUAGAGGUUAUAUAAGAGUCUAAGGAAAGUUAGCUUAUUUAUUCAAGUGAUAUCUCUAUCCAGCCAGACAGACACUAAGCAAACCUGCUCAAAUAUGAAGGCAGUGAAUAGGCCAACAAAACAAAUACAACUUGUAUGGAUACUUAAAAACUUGGUAGAGAGAAGAACCAUUUUUAUUUCUUCAACUAUGAAGAAAGGAUAUUUCAAAACAGGAGCAAUGAGAUUCCCAAUGGUGAUAUCAUUUGACAAUUUUUUUCUGCAGUGAAGCCCUUUAAGGACUCGCCGGUACUAUUUUUGUUGUAGUUCAAAUACACUAAGUCACAUGGUUAAUAAUAUAUUUGUGAUCACAUAUGAACAACUAAACACAGAAAAAGAAUUAAAGGAUAUAUGCAUUUAACAAAUAAAAAAAUGCAUAUGACAGAAGAUACCUUUCAUUUCACCCUUGGGAUUGACAAUGACACCAGCAUUGUCUGCAUAACCCAAAUGUCUCAAAUCAAAAAUUGCUCACGAAAACAUAUAAUACAGAGAAGGCAUGAACAAAAAAACCAGAUCAAAGAAAAAUUAAGCAACAAUAGCGACAACAUGCCUAACAAGCAGAAAAUAUAGAAUCUCACAAAAGUUAAAUUUGAGCAUUAUUUCAGCUUUAAAACAAAACCAAACAAAAUAAACAAACGUGUUAUCUUUACACAAAAACACAAACCAAAUUGAGAUUAACGAUGUCAUUUUCAGAGUUUUAAACAUAAAAAUCAGUAGCAACAAGUUAAAAUACAAAGGAUUAAAAAGAUCAUGAUGUUAAAACCUAGAAAUUUAUUACCUCCAUGUUUCUGAGUAUUUAUUGAAAAUACCAAAACGACACCGAAUCCAAACAAAAGAUGAACUACAUUACCUUCAAAGUACAUAAAAACACCGUCCUUUCGGCGCCAUGGCUUGCGCUGACGAACGAUAACAGCUGGAAGCACCUUCUUCCUGAGAUCGGGUUUCCCUUUCUUCACAGUGGCCAUCACCAUGUCUCCGACACAUGCUGAAGGCAAACGGUUCAACCUACCCUUGAUUCCCUUCACUGAAAUGAUGUACAGAUUCUUGGCACCGGUGUUGUCGGCGCAGUUUACCGUCGCAGCCACUGGAAGACCCAGUGACAUGCGGAACUUGUUGCCGGCAGAGCCUCCCCUUCCUCUCUUCGACAUUGUUGCCCACUCUCUCUCUCUCUCUCUCUCUGGUUUCUCACUCUUGUUGUGUUUUUUGUUUAUAUAGGUAAGGUUUUAGGGUUUACAUGGGCUCAAGCUAAUAUUGUUGGGUCUGAGAACAAAUGGGCUUUCUUAUGAGGUGGAUAGUUUCACUUCAAAAUGUGAAAUGGAUAUGUAGAAAGAUGAAGAUGUAUAUGCACUUUUACUAAUUCCAUUAAAUGUUUUGAGGCAUACGGAGAGAAAAGGUUUAGGGUUAUUUUUAAUGUUAGAUCUUUUGUCUCAAGAUAUAUAUUACUCGAUAUACUCUUCCAGUUUCAUUCAUUAAAAUAUAUAAAGUUAAAAUAUAUUUUACUUUUUUGACUAAUGAUAAAUAAGAAGUGCAUGGAACGGUAUAAAAUUUGGGAUAAAAGAUGCAAUAUCUUUGAUUAAAUGGUUGGAAUUCAAAAAAAUAUAUUUACAAAUAAUGUAGUCUAUUUUACUAAGAAAUCAUAAAUUCCACUUUCAUAGGUUAUUUUUUAACAUAUACAAAAAGCAUAAAAUAUGAAACACUUAAUUUAAUUAAGAAUCAAUAUAGUAUACAUUUCUUUUAGCAUGAUUGUUUCAUCUGAAUGUUAGGAUCGACAAAUACUAGUCGGAGAUUGAGAAUGUGAUCAAUAAUUGAACGGAUAAGAUCUAGUAUACACGAGUGUCAAACACCUACCGCAAAAUUUUGAAAUGUAAUAAAUCAUGAUUAGAUAAUAAGUAUACUAAAAAAAUUAAGAAAACAAAAUAUAGUUAAUUAAAUAUAUAUUUAUUAAAAUGAGUCGUUUAUCAUCAUGGGCCGUAAACAAUCCAGAAAGGCUUCUGCCCUGAUAGAGUGGCAAUUUGGAUUAAAGUAUUUGGGUUGCUCGUUCAAUAGUAUAAUUCGAUUGUGCUUCAUUUUAUUAAGAUGGGAUUAGAUGUUUUCAUUCAUGUUUUACUUGUCCCAAACCAAUAAUAAAACAAAAAUUAUAAAAACAAAAAUUAAUAUUUUAAUAUUAUUUUUUGAAGUUUGAUUGGUUUGGGACAUAAGGAAAAGAAAAUUAUGGGACAGAUCAUCUUGGUCCCAUUGUAUUAGGGUCAAGAUUGGUCAAACUGUUCAAGUAGACAAAAACACAUUGUUGCUAGACUGAGAAAAAUGUGCAAUACUAUAUAGAUAUGAUAUGAACAAGCCCCAUUUAGCCAUGUAUGAUGCCAAAGAAAGGUAUUAAAAAGUAGAAAAUGAAAGACUUCAUUUAUUGUGCCUUACUUGUUGGGACACAAUACAUCAGAUUGUUCGAAGAAAGCUUCUAACACUUCGAACUCUCGCAUGUUACUAAAGAUCCCACAACUGCUAUAGGUCUUUGAACAAGUGAAAGCUAGCCAAAAUGUUCCUAAGCCACGGAGUAUGGUGUGAAAAGGCUAGCCACCAAGGAAUAGAAAAGGAUAUGGAAGUAACCCCAAAGAUUAUUUCAGUGAGAUCAACAUUGGUGAACAAGGUUAUGGCUUCUUGUUUUUGCUUGUUGGAGAAAUGUUUGAUAGUGAGGGUUGAGGAGUUGACUAGAUAGAAAUUGGCAACUUUGUUAUUUUAUUUUUAUUUAUUUUAUUGCACAUUUUUUCCACUUAAAACUAGUAGGAUACCGGUGUAUUCGCACGGGUGGUACUGUGUAUUGCAUGCAUUUAAUGGAAGAGCGACAAUAUAACUAGUUAAUGAAAAUGUUAUUGAGGAUUACAUAUUAAAACAUAGUUUGUAGUAAUUCAUUGUUGAUGUAAACAUGUUGAAAUAAUGAAAUGUUAUUGAACAUGUAAUGUUAAAAAAGAAAAUAUGUUAGGAAGAAAAGUUUAGAACAUAAUGUAAAAUAAGUUGUAGAAUACAUGUUAAAGAUUUUGAAAAACUUCUUUGUAAACCACAUUUGUUAUUGAUUUGAGUGGUUUACCAUCUUUGUCAUGUAUCAAUAUUUUCAAUCUAUUUUUUGUUUGAAUUCUUGAAAUAGAUACAUACAACUGAUCAUGACUGAAUACUAGUCUUGGUAAAUACAAUCUCACACUUUCUAAUGUCUGACCUUAAGAUUUAUUAAUUGUCACUUCAUACGAAACAAUUAUACGGAAUUGUAUUCUCAUAAGCGUGAAAGGUCAUGGAGAUUGUGAUGGAAACAUUGAUAGCCGAUGAAUAUAUAUAAUAUUUCUAAUGUUCUUUCCAGAUAUGAUCUUCGCUUCAAGUAUAUGAUUUGUCAUCUUAGUAACCACCAACCUUGUACCAUUACAUAAUCAUUCAGACUGAUCUAAAUUCAUUAAAAGCAUUACCGGAGUUCUCACUUUCAACUUAAUCUUAUGAUUUGGAAGAAGUCCUGAUGUUGCAAGUGAAUUUAGAAAUUAUGGAAUUAGUAUGUUAAAUGUUUUACUUUAAUUAGCAUUAGACAUAUCAACUAAAUCUGAACUCAGGUAUUCCUUUUCGUCACCUAUAAAUAUAGAAUAGAACAUUUAUUAAUAUCAAUAUAAUAAAUCUAUUAUCUUUAAGAUAAUGAUUAUUAAAAGAGAACUGAAUAAAAUUUACCUAGAAUUUUACUCAAAAUAUACUCAUUGAUUUCAUCAACAAUCUCAAUUGUAGAUUGUUGAUGCAAGUGCUCUACUUUGAAGAAAUUGUCCAUCAUUCUAAUGAUUUUGUAAGUUUGGGUAGGUGCUAGAUACUAUGGCAUCAAUCGGGUUAUCAUAAUCUAGAAUUAGAAGUUCUUCUGGAAUAUCAACUUCAACGCAACCAUCAUUAGACUCAUAUAAUUUUUCAUCUCUCAUCUUUAGUAUCCAUUCAGAGAAUUGUCUGAUAUCGGUUGCAUUGUUAUGAUUUUGUAGACGCAUGUUCUGUGUAAAAGUAAGUAUUGUACAUUGAUAUCAAAGAUAAGAUGCAUUAAUUUUUGCAUGUACUAUAUAUGAACGACACCCUCUUGGAAUCACUUGUAAGAUUUGUCUAAAAUCACCUCCAAAUACUACAACCUUUACUCCAACCAAAAUUGAGUCAUUUUUUGUUAUACCUAUUACUACGCCAGAAUAGCAAAACAAUAGCGCUUAAAAUUGUCAUUUAACAGCGUUUUUGUGGCGCUUUCUAUGUGAGCGUAGUAAUACAUAAGGUUAUAUUCAACAGCAUUUUUUAUAGCGAUGUAGAAAGAAGCAAGCGCGGUUAAAUGUCUACUUUCUAAAUAAGACAAUAUAUCUACCAAACAUUCUAUCAAAAACAUGACAAUCAUGUCCAACUCCACCAUAUUUACAAUAUAUUUGUUAAAUCACCAACAACUUCAACUACAUUCAACCUUAGCAGAUUCCAAUAUUAUAAAAUAACAUAUGAGUAAUGAGAUCUUACGCAAAUUGUUCAUUUUUUCUCCUCCAAUGUUCUAGAACUUCAUAGCUGCAUAACUUCACAACAAAUAAAGAUCACACUAUUAGUGAAUAGAGAAAUAAAUGAGCUAAAAUAAGAUAACGAUUUACCUUAUGCUUGAAGAGAAAAACCAAAAAUUAAUAACUUCACCGUAGCUGCAUAACUUCACAACAAAUAAAUAUCACACUAUUAGUAAAGAGAUAAAUAAAUGAGCUAAAAUAAGAUAAGGAUUUACCUCAUGCUUGAAGAGAAAAACCAAAAAUUGAUAACUUGUUUGAAAAGAAAAACUAAAAACAAAAGAGGAAAAAAAUGUAACUUAUGGAGAAGAAGAAAAGUAUGAGAAAUAACAAACUCAUUGAUACGUAUUAUUGUGUGAGGUUUUGUUUUUGAAUUUGAAAUAUUCUCGCUCACUAAAACAAACGUUUAACCAUGCUUAUCAAAGAAGUGUUAUUAAAUAUACAAAGCUUUAACAAUGUUUGCUUCAAUAAACACCGUUAAAGAUAACACCUUUAACAACGCUUAUUGAAGGAAUGUUGUUAAAUAUAUGAAGUAUGACCUUUAACAACGCUUGCUUCAAUAAGCGUUAUUAAAUAUAACACUUUUAACAUCGCUUUCUUCAAUAAGUAUUGUUAAUGAUAACAAUUAUAACAGCGCUUAUUGAAGAAGUGUUGUUAAAGCUCAUACUACAUAUAUUUAACAACGUUUUCUUCAAUAAACAUUGUUAAAGAUAACACAUUUAACAAUGUUUUCUUCAAUAAGCGCUGUUAAUUCUCUUCCAUAUUACAUUUAACAGCAUUCAACAUAUAAGUGUUGUUGAAUGGACGUUGUUAAAUAUAAAUUCUAGCGUAGGGCAUUAUGUCUCCAAGACUUUUAUAAAGUGCCUCAAAGCAAUACUUAUGUGACAUUAGGGUUUCAUCCUAUAUAAUUAACUUUGUUUGUUUCAAUAGGUCUGCAAGUUCAGACCCUUGAUGAAUGUUGUAAACAAAGUUGUCAAAAGUGGGUACAUGUAUUUUGAAUUUAGAGUGUGUUGUCCUACCUACAGGUAAUAAGAGAGAAGUAUAUCACUUAAAGCUACAUUUAAUACAAUAUGCUUUUGAGAUCUUAAUGCAAAAGUUAGAGUUCGUCACAUAUGCGUUUUUUCAGUUCCUCUAUAACUAAAUAAGAAAAACAUGCGACCUUGUUGGUGGUUAAGAGCUUGAGUGAUAUUGUGUAAUAUCUUAUAUUGUUCUUCUACAUAAUAUGAAAUGAAUAUGUAAACAUUCAUCUUAUUAGUAGAUAUAGAUUAAUUAAAAAUAAGAAUUAAAUAUAUAAAUAACUAACAAAAUAGAAUUACAUGUUGUAGAGUUAAAAAGAAUAUUGAAUUUCUCUUCAAUUCAUCUGUAUCAUGGUUAAGUUCUUCAUAUAUAAGUAUAUUGCUUAAUUGACUUAUUAUAUAUCAAUUUGGGUAUGAUAUUGAAGGAUAGUCUUUCAAACUUCUUCGAUUUACUUCAAGUAGUUUUUCAAUCUUCAAUAAAGUUAGAUUUUAUACUUGUUCAUCUAUAAGCACCAACCCUAAAAAAUGAAAAAAAAAAGUCAUGACAUGAUAUAAAAUAUUUACAUUAUGGUGGAAUUUUAAUAAUGUAUUGUAAUGUGAUUAUUCUAUACCUUGAUUAUUGGAGAUAGUUCUUUGGUUGUAAAGAAUUCCAUCAAAUAACCAUUGCUAUGUUUCCUCCCAAACAUGCUUUGGUUUGUUCAUGGAUGUUGAUAAGAUCAUUGUGACAAAUAAUUUCCUCAAGUAGUAUCCAGAACCCCAAUUAUUUGCCUCUCUUAAAGCUUCAAUAUAUACUAUGUCAUCCUUAAGCAAACCCGUAGCAAAACAUGCAUGCCUAAAUGUUGGAUAUUCAACAUUUGAAACAGUUCUAAUAUCUUCAUAACAUGUUGGUCCUUUAACCACUAUCAACAUCAUCAUAAGAUAAUACAGUUCACUACUGCAUAGAGAAACCCAAAUUAGUCUACCAAUUGUAUAACCUGAUUUUAUUGGUUUCCAACACCUUUUUUUCUUGACAUAAACAAAAUUUGAGACAUAUUGGGCAUAACCUAGAGUUCUACCUUCUGGAUAUUGUUUAUUAGUUUUCAUCAAGGAUGUAAAUAUUGAUUCUGAUACUGUUGGUCUUGAAAGAACAUUAUCAAAGUCCUCGUGAUCAUUAAAGUAUUUUGGUUGCUCUCUUGGAAGAUGAAAGUACAAUCGUUCAACUGCAGGUUGUCUCUCAUGAAUUGGAAAUUUAAAAACUCUCCAACAUGCUUCUGAUGGUGAUACAUAUCUACAAUCAAGAUAUUGUUUAAACUCAUCAAUGUUUCCUCGAGUUUGUGACCCACCAUCUUCUGUUGGUUCAAUAACAAUGGUGAUCCUAUCAUAGCCUUUGUUUAUAUACUUGAAUAAGUACUUAACUAAAGUAAUUUGGUUACACCAUUCCAUAUUAAUGUGAGCUUGAUAUUUUCUUAAUAGUUGUGGGUUGUAAGGAACAACAUAAUGAUUGUCAAGAGAAAUACCAUUUUUUCAACAAUGUUUCCACCAUCUCUUCUCUUAUAAACUGGAUAGUCGUCUUGAUCAACAAUUAUAGAUUGUUGGAAGUGCUUAUGAAAAUACCAUGAACAUUUACCAUCCUUCAUACAUGGAGAAGACAUGUUGCAAGAACCACAUGGACCACGAAUCAUAUGUGAUUUCACCAACUUGUAUAAUUCAAGAUCAUCAUUCUCACAUGGAAUUUAAGUAGGGAUAAUUUUAUCAAUAUCAUUUGAAGAUGGAUAUUUGUACAUGGAUGUAAGAAAAUAAGCAAGUAGUGUACAUAUCUGAAACAUUAAAUGAAAAAGGAUUAUAAGCAUGCAUAUUUAAUUAAAUAGUAAAAUAUAAGAGAUCAUUUAAAAAUUAUAUGGAAAAUAUACUUACACGCAAUUACUUUACCCAAAACAUGCAUUUUCUUCAAAUCAUGAAGUAAUUCUUCAAACUUAAUUUUGAUAACCCUUGAGAUGAUAUCUAGCUUAUCAUGUAGCUUCAAGCCAAUAGGGUUAAGAAAUAUUACAAUUUUUGGCCAAUUAGGAUUGCAUGUCAUUUCAAGAACAAAUCAAGAAAUUCCAAUGAACUACAAAUAGUCAUCCAAUUAAAGUAUAAUUGAUCCAUGUAUCUGCGACUACCAACAAAUGUUGAAGGUAAUAUUACUCUCUUUCCAAUAUUUGAUCCUUGACUUUGGUCAUUUGUUUGAGAUUCAUUCAAAUUUCUGUAUUUAUCAACCCUUAGCUUUGUUCAAGUUGUUUCCUAUAAAUGUAACAAAAUUGGUUCAAAAUAACACACAAAAUUUAUGUAAAGAUAACAUAAAUUUACUUCAGCUGAUGUUCGAGCAGUAAUUUCAGACAUAAUGUUCACCUCAGAUUUAUACAUAAAUCGGUCAUCAUCAGAUAAGUUAGUAUAUUGUGAUCAUUGGUUGUUACCUUGGUUCAAUGAGUCACGAGAAAGACUGAUGGUAGAAAAGCUACAAAAAAAAAUUAUUCGGCGGAUUUCAGUAUGAUACCAAAAACACAAUUGUUAUUUUAGGUCUAAUUUCAUUGUACAUAUCUUUAUAUUUUUGAAUGUUAGAAAUGUCUUCACCAGUCAAUAUUUUUUAUCCACACCAUAAAUUGUGGAUACUUCCCUACAAAAAAACAAUGUAAAUUAAAAAAAUGUAAUUAUGAAUUUAUAAUACAUAAUAAGUAAUGCUUAAAAGAUAAAAACUACAUUGUCCUUCCUUGACUCUAGCAUGAGUUAAAAGUAUGAUCAUGGAUUGACCGGUAGGUUGGUUAUUAUAGUAGUUAAAAAACUUUAUGGCAUGGGAUUCCCAUAGGGUACGCGUAAUAACAUCAACACUAAUUAAAAAUUCCAAGUGCAAGAAUUGUGUCAAAAAUGUAAUUCAAUCUUCACAUACAUAAAAUACAAAAAACACAAUUGACUCACAUAAAAUCUGUCACAUUAAAAAUAACUUUCUUCAAAUUUGCUUGUGUCUACGAGAAAAACAGUUUGUCAACCGCUCCAAUGACAUCUAAUUCAAUCAUAUAAAAAAGAUGAUUCAAUAAUAUAAUUGAAAUAAAAAAUAUGGAUAUUACAUCUAUGCUAAAAAACUAACCUGCUAACAAAUUAGGUUGAAAGUUCCCAACAAGUAUUUCACCAAAUUUCUUAAAAUCAUAUUCAAAUUGAGGAAUAUCAGGAAAGUCUCUCUUUUAGGGUUGUACUUGCAUGAACUGUAUUUUGUACCAUGAUCACAUGUCUUAAAUUGUAGAUCAUUAUGCAUCACAUUGAGAUUGUGCAUCACAUAGGUGUUAUUCUCCACCAACUUUUCUCUACAAUCAUUGAACUCGUCCCUUUUAACAUACACUUGAAUUUUUUCCCCCUAAAUUCAUUUAAAAAUAUAAAAUUAAUAUGCAAACAAAUAUGUUUUUACAUAAAAUAUAUAUUAUUACCUUAUAAUCCAUCAAUAUCAUUUCUAGAUGUCUGGUUUUAGGUGGUAAUUAUACCUACCAAAUUUUAUUAACUCUAACAACAAUCUUCCACAAGUGUUUUAAAACAUUCAAAUCUUUUAACAGGUCGAACGAGCGUGUUAUUAACAUUAUGCUGGUUAAUUGUAUUAUGACUAAUUUAUAUUAACAAAAUUGAAGAAAAAUACUUUAUUAAGUUAUAGAGAAAAUGGAAUUUUUUUUUUUUUGUUUCCCACAGGUAUCCUCGCACUAGAGGCAAUCCUGUCCGAGCCGGGCACAUCCACAGGUAAGUGGGGCUAACUCUCCCAACGGAUAUUUUUUCCAUCCACAAGACUCGAACCCGGGUUCUUGCUUAAGGGGAAUCAAGCAUGUACCACUUGAACGAACGCCCGUUGAUAGAGAAAAUGGAAUUAGACAUAAAUUAAGCAAAUAUUGAGUAAAAAAUGAAUAUAAGUAAUAUAUGUUACCAAAUUUGAAUUCAAUCAUAUAAGAUCAUUGAGAAAAUGAAAGAAGGCUAUUGAACUUACAUUAUAUGUUAAGGCCAUUUUUCAGUGGUGAAUUAAUAAGUAAACUCCCAUAUAAUAUGAAGACCUUGUUUUUAUUUUUGAAGACAUGACUCUCUCCGUAAGACUCAACUAUAUUCAUCACCAAGAAUGGUUUUUAAAAAAUUGGGAAAUAAAAGUAUUUACAGAAUACCAUAAAAAAAAUUGAAGCAUAAAUGAUAAUAUCGGUGGAAUAACAAACUUAUCCUCAAUAAAAGUAAACCUACAAAAUUGAAUAUAGUAAAUUAUAGACAUUAAUUAUUAAGAAUAUCAUAUAGUAGAUGUAAUGAAACAAUAUACAUUGGAAGAAUAUAACAAAUGAUAAACAAUGCUUGUAUAGCUUUCAUUAAUUAUUAUACACAUUGCAGAACUUGAUUAGCCAAACAAAUAAGACAAUUAUAAGGAGCUAUAUACAAUUCAAGAAUAUAACAAAUACAAAAAAAUAAACACAAUAUAUCAUGAAAAAAGUAAAGAAACAUUAUUAAAGUAAACAAAAUAUUGCAGAACUUUAUUCACCAAAUAAAAAAGUCAACCAACACAAUAUGCAAAAAAAACAUGGACAACUUGAAGAUAGUCUUUUAAAAAUAAAUACCAAGCGAUGGUGGACAUGCAAAGAGUCAACUUCAAAUAUGUUAGCCCCAUGACACUUCAACAUUCACAUACUGACCAUAAUAACUCAAUAACUCAAUAAAAAAAUAUUUAGCUAAGAUAAGAAAUUAGUAAGCUCAAAAAUUAUAAAAUGAGCUCUAAAAUGUAAAACUGAUCAUGCAAAGAAUAAGGUAGUAAGGAAAUAAAAUUAAAGUUAUAAUAAUGUAAGUCAGUAAGGAGAACAUAAAUGACAGAUUAUCACUGUAAACAGUAAAGAUGAUAAGACAACAAUUUUGAAGACAACAUUAUACAUAAAAUGAAAUUUCAUAAACCUUGCAUAUGUUAUUCAAGUGUAAUCAUAAAAGGCAUAUUGUUUUAUCUGUAAGUGCAAUCUUUUAGAAUGAUAGAUAGUAGAACAGUGAGAACUGUGUAGAAAGGCAUAUUAUUUUAUCUGUAAGUAAAAUAACAUUUAUAACCUGUAUUUUAAUGUAUUUCAACAAGUAAUAGUAAAAGUAAUAAUAAAAUUGUUAUCACUACAACAAGUAAUAAUAAACGUUUAUUUCUAUAGCAAGUAAUAAUAAAUUUGUAUUAGCAAGUAAUAAACAUGUAGUUUAUUUCUUUAGCAAGUAAUAAACAUGUGUAUACAAUUAAAGUUAUUAUUGUUUAAUAUAAUUAUUAGCUUAAUAUAAGUAUUAGCUUGUAUAGGGAUUGUGUAUAUACACUUAAAUAUAAGUGUUAGCUUGUAAUGUUACAAGUAUCUUGUUUAGUGAUUUGAGAAACUGCAUCACAUAAAUAUUCAUCAUUUCAUUGUCUAUAUACACUUAAAGUUGUGAUUAUUUAAUGAGAAUAAUGUAUCUCCUCAUAUCAUGAGAUAAUUUGUCUCCUCUAACUAGUAAAAAUGUGACAUGUGUGCUAUUUAGUUUAUUUUUAAAAAUAUUUUUACAGAAAAUUAUGAAACAUGAUACAUGUCAUGAUUUCACUGGCAGAAGGAGAUAACUUAUCUCCUUAUAUCAGGAGAUACUCACUAAUUUCAUUGGCAGGAUCUACUUAUUUACUCCUCAUCUUAACCAUUAAUUCUAGGGGCAUUUAAUGGUUUAGAUUUACUCACUAAUUCAAACCAUUGGAUUUCCCUAGAAUUGAUGGUCAGAGUGAAGAGUAAAUUUAAAAAACUUACACUUAGAUUAAGUAGAUCCCUCCUCUAUAAGCAGUGGCGGAUCUUGACCAUAAUUUUAGAGGGGGCAGCAUUAUGAUUUAUACAUAAAUAACAUAUGAAAUAGUAGAAUAUAUAUAAAUUUUUAAUGUAAAAAUGAGUUAUUCUUUCAUGUUUAAAUUUCCAAGAAACAUGAUAAAAAUAUAACAUAACAAAUCUAUGAAGAAAUUCCAAAUAUUCCUAAGCACAAAUAAGUUCAUUAUCUCUUAUAAACAUUAUAUGUAUUUUAAACUCAGAAGAAUCGAGCAUAAAGUUAGUUUUUCAAUCCUUUCAAAUAGAGAAUCAAAAUAAUGUAUGCUUGAGAUUGAUACAAAUAAUUUUUUAAGUGAAAAAUAUAUAAAGAUAGAAAUAACGAAAUCAAGAAUAUCACACAUAGCAAUAGAAUAACCCAACUAAAAUUAAUUAAUAAAAAAAUAGUUCACUAACAAAGAAUAACAACGUCCAUGAAUAAAAUUUGAUGUAAGAAACAAAGAAAUCAUAAGUAAUCACAUGAAAAAAGCAAUUGAAGAAAACUGAUUUAUAAAGAGCAAAUAUGACAUUUUUAAGGUGAAAAAAUAAAUGGGUUUGAGUUGGAGAGUUAUCUAAAGAGAUAUUAGGAGAGAGGAAUAUGUCAUGUGAUACUAAAGAGAGUGAAACUUCAUAAAGGGUGAGAGUUUUGAAGAGAAUGUUGAAUUUUUUUAUUGUCCAAUAAGUCAUGUAGAAGUAUUAUUCUAUGAGAGAAGAAUAUAUGCACUAACAAUGUAUGAAUUUUAUAUUUUUUCACUUGAUCACCUACCAUUCAUAUUCAAUCUUUAUUAACUCUUUAAAAAAAUUAAUCUUUGAAUGAUGAAUGAUGUAGUGAAUGUGUAUAAAUAUUACACUCUUAUCCUUAAAUUUUGUUGUUAAAUUUUAAAAUAUACCAAAAACAAUAUCUCUAUAAUAUUUUUUUUAAACAUUUGAGGGGGGCAACUGCCCCCACCUAUCCUAGAGAAGAUCCGCCCCUGCCUAUAAGUAUUAGCUUAAAUAUAAGUAUUUGCUUAUAUAGGGAUUGUGUAUAUACACUUAAAUAUAAGUAUUAGCUUGUAACGUUACACAGUAACUUUUUUGGUGAUUUGAGAAAAUGCAUCACACAAAGAUUUAUCAUUUCAUUGUGUAUAUACACUUAAAGUUGUUACAUAGUACCUUUCUGGACAGUGUAUAUACAUAAUUUUAUUGUAUUUUUAAUAACUAAAAAAAUGAAAAAUAGCAAACUAAAAAUCAAGAGGAAGAAGAAAAUGUUGCAUUUUUAACCAAAAAAAAACUCAAAGCAUGCAACCACAAACCCAAAAAAACCCUCAUCCUAAAACAUAAAGUUAAAGCCAUGAAAAAGUAAAAAAAAAAAUGUUGUAUUUUUAACAACCAUAAAACAAAAACCAGCAUCUGGAAAUCAAGAGGGAGAAUAAAUUGUUGCAUUUUUAACAAAUAAAAUUUAAGCAUGCAACCACAAAUCUGGAAAAAUAUUAACAAAAAUGUGAAGUCAAAACCAUGAAAAAUUAGAAAAGUGUUGUAUUUUUAACAACCAUAAAAGAAAAAAUAGUAAAUGACAAUCAAGAGGAAGAAGAAAAUGUUGCAUUUUUAACAAAAAAUUAAAACAUGCAACCAGAAACCCUCAAACUUGUUUUUAGCCAUAAAACAAAAGUGGAACCAUGCUGAAAGAUGGAUUACUUUCAGCAAAUAUGAAUACUGAGGAAUUAUAGUAAAGAUAAAUUUCGGUAAUGAAUAAAUAUUGAUACCUUAAAACUAUGUGAGGAAGAGGAAAAUAAUAGUUUGAUAGAGAGUAUAAGAAGUGAAGAUAAAGGGAGAGAUAAAAUCUUAAUAUGAAUGUAAAGUGGAAAAAGGAACUUUGAACCCUGUAAUACGAAUGCAAAGGAACUUUGAACUGUAUAAUGAAAAGUAAAAAGUGGGAAAAGAUGGGAACAUGUAAUAAUGACUUGAAGUAAAAAUACAUUUAUAACCUGUAUUUCAAAAGUCUUAAGUUCGAACACUAUAUGCAAUUUGGUAAUAUACACAAUGUUGUAAAAAGAAACGUUAAAGUAAAUUAUGUUAGAAAUCAGAAGAAGAAGAAGUCAAGAAAGAGAAUAAGAUGAAAACAGAGAGUGAAUAGAAGAUGAGUGUUUGUAUGUGUGAGAAUGAAUGGAAUCAAUGAAUAAAUUUUUCUUACUUCAAUAAUGCCUCAAUCAUAGCUUUCAUACAAGUUUCUAUAUUUGGUUAACCAACUUAACCAACUAUCUAUAGUUAGAAACUUCUAACUACUCUUAACUAACUUCUUGAUUACUCAUUUUAACAUCCUCCCUUAAUCAAUAAGCUACUUCAUUUCUAAGUAAAUGAAAAGAAACAGAAACAGAAACAAAACUUAUACAACAAAGAAAAAUUCAUUCAUUGAUUCCAUUCAUUCUCACACACACAAACACUCAUCUUCUAUUCACUCUCUGUUUUUACCUUCUUCUCUUUCUCGACUUCUUCUUCUGAUUUCUGACAUCAUUUAGAAACUAAAGACAUUCAACAUGUCUCUUAACUUCCUACAUCUAUCACUCUUCAUAGCAUUUGUCAAUACAUCAUCUUUUUUAAUUUCUGUUGAGCAAUGCACCAUCUUCACUUUUCAUUUUUCAACUUGAUCUCUCAAGAAGUGAAACAUUGUUUCUAUGUGUUUGCUCCUUCCAUGGUUUAUAGGAUUCUUUUCCAAGUUUAUUGCUGACUUAUUGUCCACUCUUAAUUCGAAGUUAUCAAACUCCCCAUACCUUAGUUCUAUCAUCAAAUAUAUCAGCCAAAGUCCUUGGCAUGUAGCAUUACAAGCUGCAAUAUACUCUACUUCACAGGUUGAAAGAGCUACCACAUCUUGCUUCCUUGAGCUCCAAGAUAUAGGUGCACCAAAGAUAGUGAACAGAUACCUGAAGUACUCAUCAUAUCCUCCUUAUCUCCGUGUCUAAAUAGCCCAUGAAAAUCGACUAACACUUCUGCUUCUGAUUUGAAAAUAUCACCCCAUAACAUAAGGUUCCUUUCAAAUAUCUAAUAAUUCUCUUUGUUACAAUCAUGUGUGAUUGUGUAGGAUUAACCAUGUGUUUUCUUAUCAUCCCUACUCCAUAGGUUAUUUCAGACCUGCUGUGGCAAAUGAACCUAAGGCAGCCAAUAAUUUCUCUAAAAGAUGUUGCAUCUGUAGGGUUUUCCUCACCUGUGUUGCUCAAUUUCUGGUUUCCUUCAACUGGUGUUGAUGCAAGCUUGCAACUCAGCAUUUGAAACCUAUCUAGUACUUUUGUUAUGUACUUCUUUUGAUGCAUCAUUAUUCCUUUUUCUGUCUUUAUAAAUUCUAUGUCAAGGAAAUAUGCUAAUUCUCCAAGAUCAGUCAUGUCAAACUCAGCCUUGAGCUUUCCUUUCAACCUUAGAAUUUCAGUUUCACUACUCCAUGUGAUGACUAAGUCAUCCACAUAGAGACAGAUUAGGAUUAGAUCACCUAUGCAAGUAAGAUUCACAUACACACCAUGUUCUAACUUGCACUUGGUAAAACCAAUGGAUUUUACGAAUGAAUCAAUCCUUCUAUUCCAAGCUCUUGGAGCUUGUUUCAGGCCAUACAAUGCUUUCUUCAGUCUUAGCACUUUGGUUUCAUCUGUUGAAGUCUCAAAUCCAGGAGGUUGAGUUAUGUAGACUUCUUCUUCAAGAGGUCCAUUGAGGAAGACACUCUUGACAUCAAGUUGUCGUAGCUUUCAACCAUUCUAACUAGCAAUGGCAACAAUCAAUCUAACUGUCUCAAAUCUGGUCAUUGGUGUAAAGACUUCAUCAUAGUCAUAUCAUUCCCUUUGCAUGAACCCCUUAGCCAUGAGCCUAGCUUUGUGCUUAGAGAUACUUCCAUCAGGUUUUAACUUGACCUUAUACACCCAUUUGACUAUUAUAGGCUUCUUAUCUUCAGGUAAUUCAGCAUCUUCCCAGGUGUCAUUCUUUUUUAUGGCUUUGAGUUCUUCCUCCAUUGCUUUGAACCACACGUCCUCCUUUAGUGCCUCCUGGAAGGUGAUUGAUUCAGUUUCUCCUAAGAGUGCUAGGUGAAUCAAGUCACCUUCAUCUGUUAUUACAUCAUCAACAAACAUCUUAAACUCACUAAGCCUCAAUGGUAGAUGUCGUGCUCUUGUAGGUCUAGUUUCAGCAACCUUGAUCUCAUGACUCCUUGUUCUUGGAUCAUGAUUCAAUUCUUCUGUGACUUCCUGAUCUUCUUGUAUUGGUACUAGAGUCACUGACCUAUUUUUCUCAAGCUUACUAAGAAGAUCCUUCCAUGAGCUCAUUUCAUCAAAGUAGACAUCCCUGCUAAAUGCCACUUGUUUAGUUGUAGGAUUCAAGAGUUUGUAUGAUCCUGUUGAAUUAUAGCCCACAAGAAUCAUUAGUUCACUCUUGUCAUCCGAUUUCUUUCUCACUUGGUUUGGAAUAUGCUUGUAGCAGGCUGAACCAAACACCCUCAGAUGCUUCACUGAUUGUUUCUUUCGAGUCCAAACCUCUUCAGGAACUUGUUUGUCAAGAGCUUGAGUUGGACAUCUAUUGAGAACAUAAGUUGUUGUGGUCACAGCCUCACCCUAGAGAUUAUGAGGCAAGCCUUUGCACUUCAACAUACAUCUUACCAUAUUCAUAACAAUCAUAUUUCUCCUCUCAACCACUCCAUUGUGUUGUGGAGUAUAUGGAGCAGUGACUUCAUGAAUUAUGCCAUACUCCACACAGAAAUCUUCAAGCUCUCUUGAGGUAAACUCACCCCCUCCAUCAGUUCUGAGAAUUUUAAAAAGCCUUCCUGAUUGUCUUUCUGCCAAGGCCUUAAACUUACAUAGGUGAUCAAAUACUUCACUCUUUGCUUUGAUGAGAUAUAUCAAUAUCUUCUUGCUAUACUCAUCAAUGAAGGAUACAAAAUACUUGUUUCCUCCUAGUGAAGGAACCUCAAAAGGCCCACAUACAUCUGAAUAUACAACAUGUAGUAAGUCAGUAGCCCUAGUUUGAGUAUGAUUACUGAAUGAAUUCCUGGCUUGUUUACUAGCUAGACAACUAUCACAAACUAAGUUUUGUGGUUUUAUUUAUGGCAGACCUAUGACAAUUUCCUUAGUGCUUAGCAAUCUAAGAUCCCUAUAAUUGAGACGAUCAUACUUACGUGCCAAAGCCAAGACUCAUUUGAGGUUGUUUCUGCAUUCAAGCAUUAAGAGUCCAGAAUUCCCAACUUGACUUGGAAUGUCUUGUUGCUUGAUAGUGGAGCUUACAGGAUUCUCCUCUUUGAAGUGUCAUAGACUUCCAUAACUUCAUUAUUCAACUCCAUACAGAAACCUCUUUCAUGUAACUGGCCAAGACUGAUGAGAUUUGUUUUCAUUUCAGGGACAAAUAACACAUCAGUUAUGUAUGUUUUUCAGCCAUUCUUAUUGGCCAAGACUGAUGAGAUUUGUUUUCAUUUCAGGGACAAAUAACACAUCAGUUAUGUAUGUUUUUCAGCCAUUCUUCAUCUUGAGAGGAAUAUCUCUUAUCAAUUCUAGGCAAAUAUAAUAUUUUAAAUCUAUUAACUAAUUCAAACCAUUAGAUUUUCCUAGAAUUGAUGACUAAAACGUGGAAUAAAUUUAAAUUUACUCAUAAAGUAAGUGGAUCUUGUUACAGAAAGAAGUCCACAUUUACCCAAUUUCUUAUAAUAGUUAGGGUUUAGAGCAAAAUUUUAUUUAUUUUGUAUAUCAAAACAUAAUAAUGCUUACAAUAUCCACCUCCUUUGAUGUUAAAAUGGUAUGAGGCAUUGACAAGUCUUUUUGAUGAAUAAGAAAAAUGAGAUAUUUAUGAAUGAGAAAGACAAGAAAAGCUUAAAGCUUGGAGGAGGAGGAGGAGGAGGAGGAGGAAUGGAAUUAAUGAAUGAAUUUUUCUUACUUCAAUAAUGCCUCAAUCAUAUCUUUUAUACAAGUUUCUAUAAUUGGUUAACCAACUUAACCAACUAUCUAUAGUUAAAAACUUCUAGCUACUCUUAACUAACUUCUUGAUUACACAUUUUAACAAAUUACCACCUUUUUUGUUGUUCAGAACCUGCCAUAAAUUUUGUUCAAUGCAGUUCAGAACAUGACAUAAAUUACCAUCUUUUUUGCUGGAGCAUAUAUAAUAAUAAUAUAUUAAUAAUAUAAUAGAAAUAGUAAAAAAGUUGUUGUUACAAUUUUAACCCUGAUAAAUUCAAGUGUCAUGUAUGGAAGAUGUCUAUUUUGAUAAUAUCAUAAAGUUUAUUGCAUUUUCUUAUAUUAAAAAAAUAAGAUAAUAGAUAUCAUUCAUUCUCUUUACUUAUUAAUAAAUGAACGUUAUAAGGAAUGACACAUCACUACUAAUGCACUUCUGUAGUGUUGCACUAAAGAAAUUGUACACCAAGGAUGCUCCAAUAGAGAUUGUAACAUGUGGCACAAUAAAUAUCUAAUAUAUAAUAGUCACAAUUUGUUUAGUAAAAUAAUUUUUAUAUUUAAUAAAUAUUGGAGUCAUUGAAUCUAUGCAUUCUGUCUAGUUUGCAUACGGAAGAAGAUGAUGUAAGAAAUUUUGAGUCAUACAUAUAAUGUUUAAGUAUGUUUAGGGUCAUUAUUUUAUGUAACUAAAUUAAAGUGAUCUAAUUUAAGUAAGGUAUAUGUAUAUAGACAUAAUUGUCAUAAAAAUUAUAGUGUGGAUAUUAAAAGUCUUAUUUCUAUUUUAUGAUGAACAAAAUUGGAAUAAGAGAAUGAAAUAUCAUCACUUUUCAUGGAAAGUUAAGCACUUUUUAUAAAUAUGAGGUUAUCAUUCCUAAAUGUAGACCAACACCACACAACAACAUGAACCACAACAUGAGAGUUCAUUCUCUUUAUCCCAUUAGAGGAAAAACUAAGACUAAGAUCUACAAUUGGAAGACCAAAUAAUCUAGUGUUCUACUAUGAACAUACAUUUGCACACAAUAGCAAAGGACAUGGAGUUGAUAGAUACAUGAUAAAGGAUGAUAUAAUGUUCAUUUCACCAUAUUUUCUAACGUUUCCGCUCUAAUUUUGUAUUUCUUCUUAAUGAUUUUACAUGAAAAAUCUUGACUAUAUAUGUUAAUAGUGUUUAUCAUCAUUAGCAUAUAUUAUAUAUCUUUAAUUAUAAAGUCUUUCACCCCAAUUAAAGUCUCUAUUAAUUUUUUUUUACUAAAUAUGCGAGCCACCCAAGUAAAUUUGCAUAGUAUCCUCAAUUCGUACGUCCACCAAAAAAAUAAUUCAAUGAACAUGGUACUUGGCAAGAUAACUCGCCCAAGCCCAAUUUAAACUUUUACGAGAUAUGAAAAUUGUUUCAAAGAUAACUCACUUGGGAAAGAGGACGAUGAACAGGUUACUAUGAAUAUAGAUUUUUUAUUUAUAAAUAAGCAUUUAUCAAAAAAGCUUCCUAAUUGUUGAGGAGCGGGAGCAGGGAAGUAAUGCUUUUUAUCUUUAUUUUUUUUUGUAAGAAAUAGUUGAUGUGCAUCAUCUGCAUGUUCUUAAAGUGGAAACACUGGCAGAUCCUUUAAACACAAAAAGAAUUUCCAAUUGUUGAGCUUUAAUGGAUGUUGUUCUAUUCCGGUCAUAAGAUCGUAACCUACAUCUCUCCAAUCCAUUCUUACAGUCCAUCAGCUUGGUUAUCCCCGACCAACCUGGUAGAUUGGGGGCAACUAUUCCAUCCCAGUCAUAACCAGACAAUUGACUAUGGGUCCUGAGCAUAACGUUCAUUGCCCCGCAUAACCUUCAUUGUCCGCCUUAAGUAGGCUCCCCAUGGGAGAAACUAUAAGAGUCCCCAACAUAGCAUUUAAUGCUCCUGACAGAACAUUUAAUGCUCACGGUAUAGCAUUUAAUGCUCACGGCAUAGUAUUUAAUGCGCUGCUGACCCACCUUCUGUGUUAGAUAACAGACCUCAUGUCAGGCCGCCUGCACAUUAUGCCUUUCCCAGACAAUUCGACCAGAGUAGAUUCGUAGGACAAGAAAGGACGAUCUGAGUAUGUUCCUUAUGCCCGUUAGAUGCUGACCAAUGACCAUAUGUCAACUCCGCAUUCACAACACUCUAUAAAUAGGAGACCACACAUGAAGUAUAAUUAAUUCUCAUUUUCUAUCAUUCAUUGCUACACUUAUUACUCUAACCUCUCUCUUAUUUACCUCUCUUCUCUCUCUAGAAUACAUUACUGACUUGAUCGUCGGAGAACCUUUAUAGGUACCUCCCCUGACAGGUCCAGACGAUCAUCUGACCAAGUCUCCUGCUCUCCCACACUUUCUCGUUCAUUCAUCAUCAGCUCCCGACCAUUCGUCCUCAAUUCCCGAUCUUCCAGCAAAGAACAUUGGCGUCAUUUGUAGCUUACCUACAACAUGGUGACCACCCGUAACCAAGUUCAACCACUUAGCCAUGCAGAACCACUCAACCCGAAUCAUGAUACCCUUUCCAUUGAACCUCCAGCACCAGUGCAACCAUCUCACCAGGCCAGCCAAAGUCAUCUCCCAAACACCAUUCCGGAAGCACCCACCACCCAACAACUCCUCCACAUGAUACAGACCCAAGGCCAAAUUAUCCAGCAACAGGCCCAACUACUAGCCGAGUUGUGCAAACAUCGACCAUAACCCAGUAAUGGACCUUCGUGGCCAGUUGUCGAUGAGCACUCUGCUGAAUCUGUUGAAGCCUCUAGACUAGUAGCUCCCUCAAACACGAAAACCACUAAGAUAACUCACCCCCCCCCCCCAAACACGACCACAGCUCUCCACGAGCAAGACAUCCCUUCAUCGACACAAUUAUGUCCUCACCACUCCCAAAACAUCUUACCCGACCAAGCAACAUCGAACAAUACGAUGGAACAAGUGACCCACAUGAUCAUCUGGAUGCCUUUGAAACCUUAAUAUUGUUCCAUGGGGCCACUAACCCCAUCAUGUGUCGGGCAUUCCCCUUUCUCUGAAACGGGUUGCUCUGUUGUGGUUUACCCGGCUCGCAUCAAACAGCAUCGACCAAUGGGCCACUCUCGCCAACGGAUUCAACAUCCGCUUCACAGCAAGCAAAGAGCAACCUCGCUCUUCUUACACCUUGUCUGGUAUACGGCAUGAGUCACAUGAACCCCUUCGAGCUUACCUAGACAGAUUCAACUCGGCGGCCAUGAAGGUUCGCACUCUGAGCCCGGAGGUGGCGGUACAUAUCUUGGUGACAGGAUGGCCUCUUCAGGCAAGAAUUGGCUAAAUAUUCAAACUCACAAUGGAAGAACUCUGAUCUAAGGCUCAACAAUUCAUCAAUCUAGAAGAAAUCCAUCCUAACUACCCACCCAUCAACCAUAGAGAAUACCAACCCCCUCACAGGAAACCAAACGCCCAAAAACAUACUAACACCCUCGAGAUGAUCCACCCCGACAACCCAAAAAACCCCAAAUACUCCUCUUACACCCCCUUCAAUGCUAGCAGAACUAAAAUUUUGCAAGAAGUUAUUGCCACCCACUUAGCCCAGCUCCCCAAACCCAAUCCAAGCAGGAGAUUAGGGACCCAAGACCCCUCCAAAUAUUGUGACUUCCACACCCUCUUUGGCCAUGUAACAGAGGAAUGUACACAGCUGAGGGAAACUAUCGAAGACCUGAUACAAGUCGGACAUCUACGAAAAUUUAUAGAUCGGGCCCGCCAAGAACGAUCAUCACCUCUACGUCGAUCCAGUCCUCCUGAAAGAUGUUCCCCCCAAAUCAUCAUCAGGAACGCCUUCCGAAUAGAGACCGGAGAGACCAGUAUCGCUCCAACAAUAGGCGACAACAGAGCCCAAAGGACAUCAACACCAUAUCCGGUGGAUUCGCUGCCGAUGGUACAUCCAGGUCAGCUCAGAAAAGAUAUGUCCGGGAGAUAAUGCAAUCAAUUGUCCAAAAACCCCACCAAUAUCAGGGCCACCAGGAAACACCCCCAAUCUCCUUUGACGAUCGUGAUUAUUAAGGCGUCUUCUGCGGUCAUGACGAUCCCCUAGUCAUCACCGCUAAAAUGAAUAAUAAAAAGGUGGGACGCUUAUUUGUUGACCAAGGUAGUUUGACGGACAUCAUGUUUCAAGACCUGUUCACAAAAAUGGAACUCAAAGACAGAUACUUCUUGCCAUAUGAAGGACAACUUGUCGGUUUCAGUGGACAAGGAAUCACCCCCGGGGCUAUGUUAAUAUAUGGCUGACUGUCGGGGAACACCCUCUGACCCGGACAAUUCAAAUAAAGUUCCUGGUCAUCGACUAUGUUUCGGCCUACGCCAUACUCGGUCGACCAACACUCAACCAUCUCGAAGCAAUAGUCUCCACUCCACACUUCUGCAUGAAGUUUCUCUCCUCUAACCUCUGAGUAUGCACAGUUAGGGGAGAUCAACAUAGCGCAAGAAGUUGUUAUCAGAUGAGCCUUCGACCAAAUCAAAAUUCAACACGAACACCACCCCCUAAGGAAAAACAGUGAGGCGUGCACUUGGAGGAGUUAGAUGUCAGGGCAGAUAUAGAAGACCUACGACCUCAGCCAGAAGGAGAUAAAACCUCCCUUCAACUCGGCCCCUUGAAAGAAAAUCUGGUGUAUAUCGACUCAACUCUCAACGAAGCUCGGAGAUCAAAACUGAUCAAAUGCCUGAAGACCAACAAAGAUCUUUUUGCCUGGUCCGUUGCGGAUAUGCUCGGAAUAGAUCCCUUUGUUGCAUGCCACCACCUGACGGCAAACCCAGGAGCAAGAUCGGUGGCUCAAAAGAAAAGAAAUAUGGGCGCCGACGAAGUAACCGAGGUUACUCAAAAGAUCUUAGAAUUACUAUAGGUGGGCUUCAUCUGAGAAAUAACAUAUACGACUUGGCUGUCAAACGUCGUGCUGGUCAAAAAAUCAUCUAGGAAGUGGCGGAUGUGUGUAGUCUACACAGACUUGAACAAAGUGUGCCCAAAGAAUCCAUACCCCUCCGAAUAUCGAUCAUCUCGUUAACAAUUCUUCUGGGUAUCAGUUCCUGUCAUUUAUGGAUGCUUAUUUAGGGUAUAACCAGAUUCCCAUGUACCCCCCAGACUAAGACAAGACCACCUUCAUUACACACAAGGUGACUUACUAUUAUACGGUCAUGUCGUUCCAUUUGAAAAAUGCGGGGGCUACAUACUAGAGGAUGAUGAACACCAUUUUUGGAGAUCAGAUUGGGAAGAACAUGGAAGUCUACAUGGACAAUAUGAUCACCAAGAGUCUGCCAACGGAGGAUCAUGUGAGUAUCCUAAAUGUCGUCUUCGACCGACUGCAUAAGUUUAAUUUAUGCCUCAACCCGGAAAAAUGUACAUUUGGAGUCGAAGCCGACAAGUUUUUAGGAUUUUUGUUAACAAGCCGGGGUAUUUAAGCCAACCCAACAAAAUGUCAAGCAGUCAUCAACAUGCGCAACCCAAGAUCGGUUAAGGAAGUUCAGCAACUUAAUGGGCAAUUGGCAGCCUUGGCCAGAUUCCUUCCAGCAUCCGCCAAGCAUUCCCUUCCACUAUUCCAACUUCUCAAAAAAAGCAAUAACUUUACUUGGUCGGAAGAUUGCGAAUCAGCUUUCCAAAUUUUCAAACAAUAUCUAGCUACCACUCCCGUGCUUUCAAAGCAUGUACCUGCCGAAACACUAUACGUCUACUUGGCAAUAACAGACGGGAGCGUAGCACCACCCUAAUCAGAGAAAGUGAAGAUGGUCAGCACCUAGUGUACUUCACCAGCAAAGCAUUACAAGGCCCAAAGCUCAGGUAUCAGAAGUUAUAAAAGGUCGCUUACGCCCUCUUGGUGGCAACAAGACGGUUGCGACAAUAUUUUCAAUCCCAUCCGGUGGUGGUCAGAACCAAUCAACCUAUCCGCCAAAUUUUGCACAAGCCUGAGCUGGUCGGACGGAUCAUCUCCUGGCCUAUUGAACUAACCCAAUUAGAUAUACGACACGAACCCAGGACGGCUAUCAAAAGCCAAGUCAUGUUCGACUUCAUUGCCAAAUUGAUCACACAACUAGGUAAUUUCGAGCAAAUAUGGACCAUAUAUGUUGACGGUUCAUCCAAUCCCCAAGGCAGUGGAGUAGGGGUUUUAUUGGAUAACAGCCAGGGGAUGACCAUCGAACACUCGUUGACCUUCACCUUUCCCGCAUCAAUUAACUAAGUAGAAUAUGAAGCAUGCAUUGCCUAUUUGGAGUUGACCAGGGAAGUCAGGGCUGAGAAAGUCUCCAUUUGUAGUGAUUCCCAACUCGCAGUCUCUCAGAUUAUACAGGUCUAUCAGACAAAGGAUGUGUUACUCGGAAAGUACCUAGCCAAGGUUAAGGAGUUCAUGGGCAAGUUUGAAACGGCUUCCAUACAACAUGUCCCAAGGGAGCAGAAUAUCUAGGCUGACAUCCUGUCCAAACUAGCAAGCACGAAGAGCCUGGGUAACAACAGAUUAGUAAUUCAAGGGACAAUCCUACAGUCCAGUGUCAUGGCUAUCGAGCAAGCACAGAUCCCGAUCGACUCGAACGUCCCGAUCAUCAGGUACUUAACCAAUGGCGACCUACCAGCAGAUCAGAAAGACAGGCAGAGAUUCCUCAUGUUCACCAUGGUACAGGGUUGUUUGUAUCGUCAGGGCUUUUCUACUCUCAUGCUCAAAUGCCUCGGCCCCGAUAGGGCUCAGUACGUUCUUUAAGAAAUCCACGAGGGAAGUUGUGGUCAAGACCUCGGCACGACAUCACUCACCAAAACGAUACUCCGAACUGGGUAUUAUUGGUCGACCAUGGACAAAGACGCCUCCGAAUUCACUAAGAAGUGUACACCCUACCAAUUGUUUGCCGACCUCCACAAGGCUCCCCCCGAAGAGCUCACAACAACAAUGACCCCAUGGCCCUUCUGCAUAUGGGGUAUGGAUAUUUUGGGACAAUUCCCACCAGCAAUCGGACAACUUAAAUUUAUGAUAGUGGUGGUCGACUACUUCACUAAAUGGAUUGAAGUUGAACCCAUGUCCAACAUCACGGCAGCCAACAUGUGGAAGUUCACUUGGAGAAAUAUCAUAACAAGGUUCGGGAUACCCGUCGCGGCAGUCACUGACAAUGGAACUCAGUUUUCUGACCGGAAUUUUAGAGAACUGUUGACAGACCUCCACAUCAAACAACAUUUCACUUCAGUUGACCAUCCUCAAACAAAUGGUCAGGCAGAAGCAGCCAACAAAUUCCUCCUCAGUGAGAUAAAAAGAAGAUUGCAAGAAGCUAAUGGAGCCUGGUCGGAACAGUUGCAUCAUGUCCUUUAGGCUUAUCGUACAACUCCUCACUCCACUACCAAGGAAUCUCCUUUCAACCUUACUUACGGGUCUGAGGCUAUGAUCCUAGUAGAGAUCGGCGAACCCACAUGGUGAACAGCACACUUCGAUGAAGCCGCCAAUUCGACCAUCUUAAAGUACGACUUAGACUAGAUCGAAGAGAAGAAAGACCGAGCCAAAAUUAGAGAAACCACCGUCGAACAGAGAGCCACCUAGAAAUACAACUGAGCAGUAGUACAACGAGACUUUAAAACAGACAGUUUAGUACUCAGGAGAGCUGACGUCGGAAAAACAAAGGGCAAACUUGCACCCAAUUGGGAAGGACCGUACCGGGUAAGUAGCAAGAUUGACAAAGGGGCCUACAAGCUCGAAGACCAAGCAGGGAAGGAAAUCCCCCAUACUUGGAACGCAACAAAUCUUCGAAAAUUUUAUGCUUGACAAUGUAAACCCCGUGCCAGACCUUUAUACGACUGAGCAAAAUGAUGUAACUGAAUCCCACUUAUAUGUUAACGAGGUGUUAUUCAGACGUCUUUCUAAAUCCUCCUAGUCACCAGCAACACACCCCUCGGAGGCGUGGGCCAGUCCCCCGCUGAUGGCGGUUCAAAUUCGCCAACCCAAGCCAAGACCGAGUCUUCUGGGUCGCUAUCAAUAUACCCCUCGAAGGCAUGGGCAAGUCCCCCUUUGAUGGCGGUUAAAUUCAUAAACCCAAGACAGGGCCAAGUCCUCUGGGUCGCCAUCAGUAUACCCUUCGGAGGCAUGGGCUAGUCCCCCUUCGAUGGCGAUUAAAUUCAUAAACCCAACACACGACCAAGUCCUAUGGGUCGCCAUCAGUAUACCUCUUGGAGGCAUGGGCCAGUCCCCCUUCGAUGGCGGUUAAAUUCGUAAACUCAAGACAAGACCAAAUCCUCUAGGUUGCCAUCAACAAACCCUGCAAAAAUAUGAAUCGAAACGAUGGUAACCAGGUCAUUAAGUCGAUUACCCGGUCAAUCCAGCCUUGUCAAUUGAUUAACAGUUUUAAGUCCAUUAGGUUGGUUACCCGGUCAAUCCAGCCUUGUUAAUUGAUUAAAAGUUUCAAGUCCAUUAGGUUGGUUACCCGGUCAAUUCAGCCUUGUUAAUUGAUUAAAAGUUUCAAGUCCAUUACGUUGGUUACCCGGUCAAUCCAGUCUUGUUAAUUGAUUAACAGUUUCAAGUCCCUUAGGUUGGUUACCCGGUCAAUCCAGACGUGUUAGUUGAUUAACAGUUUCAAGUCCAUUAGGUUGGUUACUCGGUCAAUCCAGCCUUGUUAAUUGAUUAACAGUUUCAAGUCUAUUAGGUUGGUUACCCGGUCAAUCCAGCCUUGUUAAUUUGAUUAACAGUUUCAAGUCCAUUAGGUUGGUUACCCAGUCAAUCCAUCCUUGUUGGUUGUUAAACAGUUGCAAGUUCAUUAGGUUGAUUACCCGGUCAAUUCAGCCUUGUUAAUUAAACAGUGGCAAGUUCAUUAAGUCAAUUACCUGGUCAAUCAAGUUUUGUUAACUGAUUAACAGUUUCAAGUCAAUUAGGUUAAUUACCCGGUCAGUCCAAUCUUGUUAAUUGAUUAACAGUUUCAAGUCCAUUAGGUUAAUUACUCGGUCAGUCCAGCCUUGAUAAUUAUUAGACAGUUUCAAGUUUAUUAAGCAGAUAGUACAGACGACCAAAGGCAAUAUGUAAACAGGACAAGCGGGGAUAGUAUAGAUAACUAAAAACAUUACAUUUUCAAUGCAUUAAACCCAUAAUCAUCGCCCGCUAAGUCCUACCCGGGACCGGAAGCUUCAUCGGGCCUUCACCAUCAUCGGCAACCAACUCCCCCCCAAGAGUAACUGACGCAUCAAUCUGGGUCCAAGACUAGUCAUGAUCCGGAAGAACCAACCGUGCCUGAGCAAAUGCAUU